This 164-nucleotide ribosomal RNA is filed under the name uncultured eukaryote. RNAcentral's name for it is "partial 18S ribosomal RNA". It matches the Rfam family "Eukaryotic small subunit ribosomal RNA", at positions 1299 to 1458 of the family's 1831-position model. The record is from RNAcentral.
UGGUGGUGUGAAUUGUCUGGUUAAUUCCGUUAACGAACGAGACCUCGACUUACUAAAUAAUUCGGAUCAUUUCCUUUGUGGAAUGGUUGAUGCUUUCGGGUGUCGGUGCGAAUUUCUUAGAAGGACUAUUGGCGCGUAGCCAGUGGAAGUUCGAGGCAAUAACA